CUGUCGCUAUGGGAUGGCCCCGCGGUGCAUUAGUCUAGUUGGUUAAGGUAAAGGACGUUACCAAGGCGAUGAUGCAUAGCCGAGUUGAGAGACUGAUCGGCCACAUUGGGACUGAGACACGGCCCAAACUCCUACGGGAGGGCAGCAGUAGGGAAUCUUCCACAAUGGACGCAAGUCUGAUGGAGCAACGCCGCGUGAGUGAAGAAGGUUUUCGGAUCGUAAAGCUCUGUUGUUGGUGAAGAAGGAUAGAGGUAGUAACUGGCCUUUAUUUGACGGUAAUCAACCAGAAAGUCACGGCUAACUACGUGCCAGCAGCCGCGGUAAAU
RNAcentral lists this ribosomal RNA (326 nucleotides) under uncultured Lactobacillus sp. Its description in RNAcentral is "bacterial SSU rRNA". It matches the Rfam family "Bacterial small subunit ribosomal RNA", at positions 212 to 525 of the family's 1533-position model. The record is from RNAcentral. Lineage: Bacteria; Bacillati; Bacillota; Bacilli; Lactobacillales; Lactobacillaceae.